GAAGGGCUCUGGCGCCAGAUGGUUUGAUGGAGCUCGUUGGUGAAACUCCUCUCACACAGCCCUUGUUACGCACCUCUGCAUCGGGGUACAAGCCACCUCCAAAGCUCAGCGGCGACGUUGUGCGUGGCUCCAGGGCUGGAAUGAUUGUCAUAACACCAGCUGGAACUUGCUGAGGCUGAAUGGUGCUCUACACUUGACAAGCAGUUCUGUAUGUACCCAAGAUGUGCUGUUAAGUCCAUCUAGCAGGUCGGCGUACCUCUGUCUACAUCAUUCUAAAAACCAAUCUAAGUCUUCGGUGCACGGAAAGCUGCCUCUGCUGUUCUUUCUAACCCUUUAGAAAACAGAAAGACAACCCGUGAGGAGUUAAUCCUUCAGAAAUCUCUGAAAGACAAGGAGUUCAUCCUAUACCCUACUGAAGCGUUAACCCCAAAUCACUGUGAAGCAACGAGAUGAAGUGAGAGGAGAUGAGCACCGCUGGGUCACGCAGCCGGGGCAGGUUUGAUUACUGUUAGAAGACCAAAAGCCAGAUUCACAGUAAAUUAUUGAACCGGGGCCCUGUGCCUGCUGACUGUCACACCAGCCACAGGAGCAUGGCAUAAAUCUUCAGAUCUCAUGGUUUAUGUGUUGCAGUCACGUAUCUCCCCGGGAGAGCUGUGGAAAGAAACACAAAGGAGAGCAGCAGACUUCAAACUUUGGGUAUGCAGUAGCCUCCUUGGUAAUAUUUUGGCACAGGUACGUUUUGUCGUCUUCUUGCCUUGAGGAUCACCCAGAAGUCACAUUUUAUGUCAGAGCGAGAAGGUUUUUAACAUCUCUCAGCCAAUUGAGCCCCAAAUUACAUGUCCUUACUAACAUACUUUUUCAUUAAAGAAAAGAAGAACAUUUUUUUUUUUCCAAACACACGCUUCCUGAUGUUGCCUAGAGACAAAUUUCUGUUCCUGCUCCUUAACCCUCUGUCAUCUGCUGCAAGGUGCUGAAUUUUGCUGGGCUCAAGUCCUCUCGCUGAGAAAAGCCACUCAGUUUGUAAUCAGGCAUGUUAGCGGCUCGCUUCUCCAUUGUUAUCCACCAGGUUAGUCGCAGAUUUGGUUUGACAAGCCAUAACUAAUUUAUUUGAGCUAAAUUAUAUGAAGGCAGUUAUCAUAUUAACUGUGCUCACAGCUCCACCUCUCAUAUUGCAUUUUUUG
Long non-coding RNA from Calidris pugnax (ruff), 1181 nucleotides. RefSeq lists it as uncharacterized. NCBI's taxonomy places the organism in Eukaryota, Metazoa, Chordata, Aves, Charadriiformes, Scolopacidae. The transcript has 3 exons. The record is from RefSeq and is a predicted model, not a curated record.